GUAGCUCAGUUGGAUAGAGCAUCUGCCUUCUAAGCAGGUGGUCGCGGGUUCGAUUCCUGCC
This 61-nucleotide transfer RNA is filed under the name uncultured Sutterella sp. It matches the Rfam family "tRNA", at positions 7 to 64 of the family's 71-position model. Rfam says of the family: Transfer RNA (tRNA) molecules are approximately 80 nucleotides in length. The record is from RNAcentral. Lineage: Bacteria; Pseudomonadati; Pseudomonadota; Betaproteobacteria; Burkholderiales; Sutterellaceae.